This 441-nucleotide ribosomal RNA is filed under the name uncultured bacterium. RNAcentral's name for it is "partial 16S ribosomal RNA". It matches the Rfam family "Bacterial small subunit ribosomal RNA", at positions 338 to 795 of the family's 1533-position model. The record is from RNAcentral.
CCUACGGGAGGCAGCAGUGGGGGAUAUUGCACAAUGGGGGAAACCCUGAUGCAGCGACGCCGCGUGGGUGAAGAAGUAUUUCGGUAUGUAAAGCCCUAUCAGCAGGGAAGAAAGAAGACGGUACCUGACUAAGAAGCCCCGGCUAACUACGUGCCAGCAGCCGCGGUAAUACGUAGGGGGCGAGCGUUAUCCGGAUUCACUGGGUGUAAAGGGAGCGUAGACGGCCGUGCAAGCCAGGAGUGAAAGCCCGGGGCCCAACCCCGGGACUGCUCUUGGAACUGUGCGGCUGGAGUGCGGGAGGGGCAGGCGGAAUGCCUGGUGUAGCGGUGAAAUGCGUAGAUAUCAGGAGGAACACCGGCGGUGAAGGCGGCCUGCUGGACCGCGACUGACGUUGAGGCUCGAAAGCGUGGGGAGCGAACAGGAUUAGAUACCCCUGUAGUC